This 815-nucleotide ribosomal RNA is filed under the name uncultured Bacteroidota bacterium. Its description in RNAcentral is "bacterial SSU rRNA". It matches the Rfam family "Bacterial small subunit ribosomal RNA", at positions 64 to 885 of the family's 1533-position model. Lineage: Bacteria; Pseudomonadati; Bacteroidota. The record is from RNAcentral.
GAGGGGUAUAGUUCUUCGGAGCUAGAGACCGGCGCACGGGUGCGUAACGCGUAUGCAAUCUACCUUUUACAGAGGGAUAGCCCAGAGAAAUUUGGAUUAAUACCUCAUAGUAUGUGAGAAUCGCAUGGUUUUCACAUUAAAGUUCCAACGGUAAAAGAUGAGCAUGCGUCCCAUUAGCUAGAUGGUAAGGUAACGGCUUACCAUGGCGACGAUGGGUAGGGGUCCUGAGAGGGAGAUCCCCCACACUGGUACUGAGACACGGACCAGACUCCUACGGGAGGCAGCAGUGAGGAAUAUUGGACAAUGGGCGCAAGCCUGAUCCAGCCAUGCCGCGUGCAGGAUGACGGUCCUAUGGACUGUAAACUGCUUUUGUACAGGAAGAAACACUCCCUCGUGAGGGAGCUUGACGGUACUGUAAGAAUAAGGAUCGGCUAACUCCGUGCCAGCAGCCGCGGUAAUACGGAGGAUCCAAGCGUUAUCCGGAAUCAUUGGGUUUAAAGGGUCCGUAGGCGGUUUAAUAAGUCAGUGGUGAAAGCCCAUCGCUCAACGGUGGAACGGCCAUUGAUACUGUUAAACUUGAAUUAUUAGGAAGUAACUAGAAUAUGUAGUGUAGCGGUGAAAUGCUUAGAGAUUACAUGGAAUACCAAUUGCGAAGGCAGGUUACUACUAAUGGAUUGACGCUGAUGGACGAAAGCGUGGGUAGCGAACAGGAUUAGAUACCCUGGUAGUCCACGCCGUAAACGAUGGAUACUAGCUGUUGGGCGCAAGUUCAGUGGCUAAGCGAAAGUGAUAAGUAUCCCACCUGGGGAGUACGU